UGCCGUUUAACAAGGUGAAAGAGUGACCCAAUGAAGUGGAAUACUACCUUGUCAGUGUGCCGAAAGAGAAGUCACCUUAGCCCACUCCAGCACAAGCGGAGGGAGAGGGAGCGACGUCUUUGAUUGUUUGUUGCCAGCAGGGAGAAGGGAAGGAGGGUGCUUUUCUGGAAACACCACUGUCUCGCAGGCUGAAGCAUAUGGGAGGUUCCAUUGGAUAACUCCUUGACAGUCAGGAGAACAGCAGACAGAAUUGGAUUUGGUAUGUUGCAUUUAUUAAUUAAACAGUUAAAUCCGUUCCUGGCCGCGGUUCCCUUGGGGUUAAAGCUGUCUAUGCUGUGAAUCUGAAUGAGCUUGCUUGCUUAGAUGAGAUGAGAAGGUUG
RNAcentral lists this long non-coding RNA (380 nucleotides) under Astyanax mexicanus (Mexican tetra). RNAcentral's name for it is "lncRNA (ENSAMXG00005021079.1)". Lineage: Eukaryota; Metazoa; Chordata; Actinopteri; Characiformes; Acestrorhamphidae. The record is from RNAcentral.